AUGAAGAAGAGGCCUAUAGUUGCAGAGAAGGCUGACUUAAGAAGCAGGAGGAAAAAUUAUGGCUUGGUAAGAAAGAGGAAGUUUCGCGCGGAUCGGUUUUGCAUAAGUGCUAUAAACGCGGUUCGGUGGAGCUCGGACAGCGGCAGCACAGCGACCGCGGGGUCCUCCGUCACCGAGAGCAUCGGGUUUACUAGGGGACGUACGCGCAUGGAAGCACGCUAUCCCGAAAGUAUUUUAUUAAGCACAGAUCGACUCACCGCUAGAGCAGGAAAAUCGGCUGUUAUAGGAAAAGAAAGGACCAAAUCCUCGUUUUCUCACUUUAAUUUCUGCUAUCCGCGCGGCAGGGAGGCAUGGCGGCUGCGCACCUCCCGGCCGGUCCCGGCGCGGCCGCGGCCCCUCGCAGCCCAGCGCCGCCCGCGCCCGCGGGAGAGGCGCCGCCCGGCUCGGCACCGCGCGUCCCUUCCGCCCGCCGCCCGGUACCGCGGUGGAACAGCGCUGCCGCUCCUUCGCUGCCUCCCGCGCGGGAAAGCUGAAGAGAAGCGGUUUUCAUUGAGUAAGCUGUCUGCAGAAGCUGUGUCUAUACAGAGGCUCUGUAUUUUAUUCACUGGAGAGAACCAGCAGAAGACCUCAGGCCAUUUUCUAGCUGAUUUAAUUAAAAGAAGCUUCAAAGUUCUAAUGACCAUAGCAAGGAUAGAAAUCUCAGAAGUGAAUGUGCCACAGAAUGGCAGCCCAAAGAGCUUCAGCCAGUGGCACCUCCUGCCAAUGUAGGACAUUGAGGUAUGGAGACGAAGCUCCUCUAUGACUACCAAGUUUGCAUACGGUGCACCAUGGCUCAGCUGUACAAACAGUUGUGCUCUGCAGCUGGUGAGGGAAACGGCCUCCAACAGUGAGCAGAGCAGGACCUCUGGCCACAGAGGAUCCUGGCUGACAUGGCAGGGACCACAGAAAUCAGAAAUAAAAGGCAAAAUGCUUUGAAAACA
This 980-nucleotide long non-coding RNA is filed under the name Phasianus colchicus (ring-necked pheasant). Its description in RNAcentral is "lncRNA (ENSPCLG00000008100.1)". Lineage: Eukaryota; Metazoa; Chordata; Aves; Galliformes; Phasianidae. The record is from RNAcentral.